ACGGGAGGCAGCAGUAGGGAAUCUUCCACAAUGGACGAAAGUCUGAUGGAGCAACGCCGCGUGAGUGAAGAAGGGUUUCGGCUCGUAAAACUCUGUUGUUAAAGAAGAACAUAUCUGAGAGUAACUGUUCAGGUAUUGACGGUAUUUAACCAGAAAGCCACGGCUAACUACGUGCCAGCAGCCGCGGUAAUACGUAGGUGGCAAGCGUUGUCCGGAUUUAUUGGGCGUAAAGCGAGCGCAGGCGGUUUUUUAAGUCUGAUGUGAAAGCCUUCGGCUCAACCGAAGAAGUGCAUCGGAAACUGGGAAACUUGAGUGCAGAAGAGGACAGUGGAACUCCAUGUGUAGCGGUGAAAUGCGUAGAUAUAUGGAAGAACACCAGUGGCGAAGGCGGCUGUCUGGUCUGUAACUGACGCUGAGGCUCGAAAGUAUGGGUAGCAAACAGGAUUAGAUACCCUGGUAGUCCAUACCGUAAACGAUGAAUGCUAAGUGUUGGAGGGUUUCCGCCCUUCAGUGCUGCAGCUAACGCAUUAAGCAUUCCGCCUGGGGAGUACGGCCGCAAGGCUGAAACUCAAAGGAAUUGACGGGGGCCCGCACAAGCGGUGGAGCAUGUGGUUUAAUUCGAAGCUACGCGAAGAACCUUACCAGGUCUUGACAUACUAUGCAAAUCUAAGAGAUUAGACGUUCCCUUCGGGGACAUGGAUACAGGUGGUGCAUGGUUGUCGUCAGCUCGUGUCGUGAGAUGUUGGGUUAAGUCCCGCAACGAGCGCAACCCUUAUUAUCAGUUGCCAGCAUUAAGUUGGGCACUCUGGUGAGACUGCCGGUGACAAACCGGAGGAAGGUGGGGAUGACGUCAAAUCAUCAUGCCCCUUAUGACCUGGGCUACACACGUGCUACAAUGGAUGGUACAACGAGUUGCGAACUCGCGAGAGUAAGCUAAUCUCUUAAAGCCAUUCUCAGUUCGGAUUGUAGGCUGCAACUCGCCUACAUGAAGUCGGAAUCGCUAGUAAUCGCGGAUCAGCAUGCCGCGGUGAAUACGUUCCCGGGCCUUGUACACACCGCCCGUCACACCAUGAGAGUUUGUAACACCCAAAGUCGGU
Molecule: ribosomal RNA, 1097 nt
Filed under: Lactiplantibacillus pentosus
Lineage: Bacteria; Bacillati; Bacillota; Bacilli; Lactobacillales; Lactobacillaceae
Also listed under: 1 other name
Description: bacterial SSU rRNA
Rfam family: Bacterial small subunit ribosomal RNA
Source: RNAcentral